RNAcentral lists this ribosomal RNA (400 nucleotides) under phytoplankton environmental sample. RNAcentral's name for it is "partial small subunit ribosomal RNA". It matches the Rfam family "Eukaryotic small subunit ribosomal RNA", at positions 587 to 993 of the family's 1831-position model. The record is from RNAcentral.
AGCUCCAAUAGCGUAUAUUAAAGUUGUUGCAGUUAAAAAGCUCGUAGUUGGAUUUGUGGACGUCGCGAUUGGCCCAGGAUUCGUUCUGGUGCUUGAUUGCGUCUCCAUCUUAAUGGUUAGCCUGUGGGCUAUUAACUUAGCUCGCUUGUGAUCCAUUUCGUUUACUGUGAGAAAAUUAGAGUGCUCCAAGCAGUCGUUUGACUUGAAUACUUUAGCAUGGAAUAAUAAGAUAGGACCUUGGUACUAUUUUGUUGGUUUGCGCACCAAGGUAAUGAUUAAUAGGGACAGUUGGGGGUAUUCGUAUUUCAUUGUCAGAGGUGAAAUUCUUGGAUUUUUGAAAGACGAACUACUGCGAAAGCAUUUACCAAGGAUGUUUUCAUUAAUCAAGAACGAAAGUACG